Molecule: long non-coding RNA, 359 nt
Organism: Suricata suricatta (meerkat)
Lineage: Eukaryota; Metazoa; Chordata; Mammalia; Carnivora; Herpestidae
Exons: 2
Source: RefSeq, a predicted model, not a curated record
UUUAGAAUUGAGAGGCUUCAGAUCGCAUCCUGACUCAGCCCUGGACCCUCACCUUGACCUUGGAAACAUUAAGAGCCCCCAGCCCGGUCACUCCAUCUUUGCCAGCUUUACUGAGGGCAAUUGGGCAAAAGUGAUACAUUAUUUAAUGUGACAAUGUUUUGUCCCGAAGCUAAUUAAUUGCAUAAUUGCUGCAAUCAUUUCUUCUGCUGUUUAUUCGCCCGCCCCUCCCUCCUUCUUCUCUAAAUAUAACUUGUUUCUUCAUCAGUAUUAAAAAAUGUACAGUCUCAUUGUAGAAAAAAAGAGGGUGAGCCAAAAGAAGAAAAUAAAACACCCUUAUCUUGCUGUUAGCACUGUGUCAA